UGGGGAAUAUUGCACAAUGGAGGGAACUCUGAUGCAGCGACGCCGCGUGAACGAAGAAGGCUUUCGAGUCGUAAAGUUCUUUUAUAUGGGAAGAUAAUGACGGUACCAUAAGAAAAAGCCCCGGCUAACUACGUGCCAGCAGCCGCGGUAAUACGUAGGGGGCUAGCGUUGUCCGGAAUCACUGGGCGUAAAGGGUUCGCAGGCGGAAAUGCAAGUCAGGUGUAAAAGGCAGUAGCUUAACUACUGUAAGCAUUUGAAACUGCAUAUCUUGAGAAGAGUAGAGGUAAGUGGAAUUUUUAGUGUAGCGGUGAAAUGCGUAGAUAUUAAAAAGAAUACCGGUGGCGAAGGCGACUUACUGGGCUCAUUCUGACGCUGAGGAACGAAAGCGUGGGUAGCAAAUAGG
Molecule: ribosomal RNA, 403 nt
Filed under: bacterium
Lineage: Bacteria
Description: partial 16S ribosomal RNA
Rfam family: Bacterial small subunit ribosomal RNA
Source: RNAcentral